UACAUCGGAACAUGUCCUGUAGUGGGGGAUAGCCCGGCGAAAGCCGGAUUAAUACCGCAUACGAUCUACGGAUGAAAGCGGGGGACCUUCGGGCCUCGCGCUAUAGGGUUGGCCGAUGGCUGAUUAGCUAGUUGGUGGGGUAAAGGCCUACCAAGGCGACGAUCAGUAGCUGGUCUGAGAGGACGACCAGCCACACUGGGACUGAGACACGGCCCAGACUCCUACGGGAGGCAGCAGUGGGGAAUUUUGGACAAUGGGCGAAAGCCUGAUCCAGCAAUGCCGCGUGUGUGAAGAAGGCCUUCGGGUUGUAAAGCACUUUUGUCCGGAAAGAAAUCCUUGGCCCUAA
Molecule: ribosomal RNA, 346 nt
Filed under: Burkholderia sp. RZ5MS4
Lineage: Bacteria; Pseudomonadati; Pseudomonadota; Betaproteobacteria; Burkholderiales; Burkholderiaceae
Description: bacterial SSU rRNA
Rfam family: Bacterial small subunit ribosomal RNA
Source: RNAcentral